Vidua chalybeata is the source of this 2394-nucleotide long non-coding RNA. RefSeq lists it as uncharacterized. The record is from RefSeq and is a predicted model, not a curated record. Lineage: Eukaryota; Metazoa; Chordata; Aves; Passeriformes; Viduidae. The transcript has 5 exons.
AAUCACAAGGGGUGUCCUGUAUACUGUAGAAACAUUGCUGCCAUAUCUGAUCCUGUCUUGGGAACAUUGUCCAGGUGGCCUCUCUGAGCUGCACAUUUUGUAAUGUUUUACAAAGUAAGAGAUCUUUCAAAGUGAUUUACAAAAUGCUAUAUGAAAUUGCUAAAUGAUUUGGCAACAUUAGAAGUCUCAUGAAUGUACUACACAUCCUUUGCUAAUGCUGUAUAUUUUAAGACUGAGAACCCAUUUCAGAAGUUUACUGUAGUCCUUGAAUGGCAGUGAGAAUUCAGACAUCGCAAAAGAGUUGCAACAACAUAAGCUCUAUUCCCCCAAAAUUUGUGGGGUUUAACAUGGGAUUUGCAUUGCUGAUAUAUUUUUGCUUUUACUAAGAGCUUACAGUAUUAAAAUUGAGAAUAUUGUUUGUGGCAUAGAUUUCUUUAAACAUGGGGAAAACCCCAAAAUGCUCAAUUUUCCUUUCUUUUAUGUAGUUUCUUAGGCUGACUUUGGCUGCAUGCCAGGUGCCCACCAAGCUGUUCUAUCUCUCUCCUUCCAGCUGGACAGGGGAGAGAAAACAAGAUGGAAACCCAUAGGUUGAGAUAAGGCAGUUUACUAAAGCAAAAGCAAAAGUUUGCACGCACACAAGCAAAGAGAGAGAAAAAGAAGGGUUAAUUCUCUCCUUCACAUCGGCAAUGACAUUCAGCCACUUCCCAGGAAGCAGCGGUUCAGCAUGCAUAGGGGUUGCUCCAAAAGGCAAAUACUGUAAAUAACCAAUUCCCCUCUUCCUCUUCCUUCCCUUAGCUUUUAUAUGUGAGCUGAUGCCAUAUGGUAUGGAAUAUCCCUUCGGAUUACUUGGGUCAGCUGUUCUGGUUGUGUCCCGUCCUGGGAUAGUGCCCACCCCUGGCCAAGAAGUUGGGGAAACUGUACUGAUGCUGUGCCAGCUCUGCUCAGCUGCAGCCAACACACUGGUGUGUUACCAGCACCUUUUCAGUCACCAGUGCACAGCACAGCACUGUGAAAGCUGCUCUGUAGAAAUGAAUUUUGUCUCAGUCCUAGAUUAUAGCAGAAAGACUCAGUAACUCAACAACUCUCUCACCAGGUCUACAGAUUUCCCUUCAGAGUGUGUUUUGGACCAAUGGGCCCAGGGUGGAUAUAUUAAUUAAAAAAUAUUCAGCAUUGCAGUUGACUGUUGCUGCUGACAGGAAGGACUUCAAGAACACAACAUCCUAUUGCAAAAUCCCUCACCAGGCUACUGGGAGCCUGCUGCUUGUAACAGGCAUUGCUUACCGCCUCCAUCUCUUUGUUUUACCACAAGCUCACACAUUAAACUUGUGGGGUGUAGAUACGCCCAUGGCUUAUUGCACUGAAAUCCUAAGCUUCUUUUGAUGGCAGCCUGGCUGGUAAGACCAUUUCCUGUCCUUUACAGCAAAAGUCUAUUUCUAUUAUGAAAGAAAUUCCCUGAGCCAGGCUCAGGCAGGCAGCCCUGUGUUAGACACCACAAUCAAUGUGAAGACCCACCAGAGACCUAGUCAGAUCUUCCUUUCUCAGGUCAAGAUGUAGGUAAUUCCAAACAUAUAGCUUUUCAUGUUGCUGCACAUUCCUCAAGUAUCUCUAUUCCUUAAGAAGAAGCUAAAGACUAAAGGUUGCAUUUUAAAGAUCCAAGAUGCUUGGCCAGAGGCAGGAAGUGGUGUGCCACAGCUGGCAGUCUGUGCCAGCGGCCUGGAGCCACACACCCAGGCACACCUCUUCCUCACAAGCAGCCCCUCAAAGGGACAGCAGUAGCUGCUAAGAAGAGGUGACACAAUUUAUACAGACUCAGGUCUGGGAAGAUGCUACAAAUGCUAAAAGAGAGAGCUGAUACCUUUGUCACCUGACAAGGUGCAAUGACAAAGCACUCAAGCACUAUACUCAUGAAACGUAUGCUGACCUGAAAUAACAAAAGAGCUGGCCUCAACAUACUCAGUGCUUCCUCUGAGAAAUGCUACUCCUUCUUCUCCCUCAAAUAUAUCAGAGCCUGCACUAAAUGAAAUUCCCAGUGAAGUCAGGAUGCCCCAGAGCUGCCUCCCAGCCAGCUGUGAUCCUUUCUUGUUGCAAAGGGCUUCGGAGCAACCCCAGUGAAGGACAAAUAUUUGCUCUCUGUCGAGUCUAUUGUCACAUCUGAUGUUGAAAAAAGUCACUUUAAAGUAGGUCCCAAAGGAAGAAAUGCAAACCUUCCCUUCCAGAGUGAAAACGUUUGAAAUACAAAACCAGUAACCUACCUCAAAUGCCAUAAGCAAAAUGCAGCUCUGUGAGAACAGGAAUCCUGGCAAAGAUGACCCACAGACCUUACACCAUUUGCAAGCUCCAUUAUUCCUUUAUUGCCAGCUGCUUACUUUUAGAGCAGCUUCACCAAAUCACACG